GGUCCUGUAGUGUAGUGGUUUAUCACUUGGGAUUUUGAACACGCUCGCCGGACGGCUCCUGAUCCCGGCCGUCUAGCGAGUGUGGCUCUUCCCAAAACCCAGGUUCGAACCCUGGCAGGACCU
Trametes cingulata is the source of this 123-nucleotide non-coding RNA. Lineage: Eukaryota; Fungi; Basidiomycota; Agaricomycetes; Polyporales; Polyporaceae. The record is from the annotation of a GenBank genome assembly.